GACGAACGCUGGCGGCGUGCUUAACACAUGCAAGUCGAACGGAAAGGCCCUGCUUUUGUGGGGUGCUCGAGUGGCGAACGGGUGAGUAACACGUGAGUAACCUGCCCUUGACUUUGGGAUAACUUCAGGAAACUGGGGCUAAUACCGGAUAGGAGCUCCUGCUGCAUGGUGGGGGUUGGAAAGUUUCGGCGGUUGGGGAUGGACUCGCGGCUAACCAGCUUGUUGGUGGGGUAGUGGCUUACCAAGGCUUUGACGGAUAGCCGGCCGGGGAGGGUGAACGGGCACAAGGGGCCUGAGAUAGGGAGCAGACGGGUACGGGGGACAAUGGUGGGGAGUAUUGCACAGUGGGAGGGCGCCGGUUGAGACGACGUCCGGGUUGUAAUGACCGCCUUUGGGUUAUGAACAGCAUUCGCCUAUUACGAAGCUUGAGUGACGGUAAUGGAUGAAGAAGCACCGGCUAACUACGUG
RNAcentral lists this ribosomal RNA (468 nucleotides) under uncultured bacterium. Its description in RNAcentral is "partial 16S ribosomal RNA". It matches the Rfam family "Bacterial small subunit ribosomal RNA", at positions 28 to 507 of the family's 1533-position model. The record is from RNAcentral.